ACUCCUACGGGAGGCAGCAGUGGGGAAUUUUGGACAAUGGGCGCAAGCCUGAUCCAGCAAUGCCGCGUGCAGGAUGAAGGCCUUCGGGUUGUAAACUGCUUUUGUACGGAACGAAAAGUCUUGGGUUAAUACCCUGGGAUCAUGACGGUACCGUAAGAAUAAGCACCGGCUAACUACGUGCCAGCAGCCGCGGUAAUACGUAGGGUGCAAGCGUUAAUCGGAAUUACUGGGCGUAAAGCGUGCGCAGGCGGUUUUGUAAGACAGUGGUGAAAUCCCCGGGCUCAACCUGGGAACUGCCAUUGUGACUGCAAGGCUGGAGUGCGGCAGAGGGGGAUGGAAUUCCGCGUGUAGCAGUGAAAUGCGUAGAUAUGCGGAGGAACACCGAUGGCGAAGGCAAUCCCCUGGGCCUGCACUGACGCUCAUGCACGAAAGCGUGGGGAGCAAACAGGAUUAGAUACCCUGGUAGUCCACGCCCUAAACGAUGUCAACUGGUUGUUGGGAAUUUAUUUUCUCAGUAACGAAGCUAACGCGUGAAGUUGACCGCCUGGGGAGUACGGCCGCAAGGUUAAAACUAAAAGGAAUUGACGG
Molecule: ribosomal RNA, 588 nt
Filed under: uncultured bacterium
Lineage: Bacteria
Description: bacterial SSU rRNA
Rfam family: Bacterial small subunit ribosomal RNA
Source: RNAcentral